This 183-nucleotide small RNA is filed under the name Chelonoidis abingdonii (Abingdon island giant tortoise). RNAcentral describes it as "TUC338 (ENSCABG00000011395.1)". Lineage: Eukaryota; Metazoa; Chordata; Testudines; Testudinidae. The record is from RNAcentral.
CUAAUGGGCAUGGAGUUAGAAUUUCUCUGCUUCUCCUAUCCUUGGAACAGGUUCAACACAGAUCAUGGCAGUCCAACCUUCUCCCUAGAGGUCCCAUUAAUAGUCUUCAACUCUGGCCUGGAGACCAGCUCUGGGGAUAAAAGGGGAAUUGAGUCUCCAUGGCCAAUUCACUCCAUGGCCUCU